GAUGAAGAACGUAGCAAAAUGCGAUAAGUAAUGUGAAUUGCAGAAUUCAGUGAAUCAUCGAAUCUUUGAACGCACAUUGCGCCCGCCAGUAUUCUGGCGGGCAUGCCUGUUCGAGCGUCAUUUCAACCCUCAAGCCCCCGGGUUUGGUGUUGGGGAUCGGGCUGUACUCCAGCCCGGCCCCGAAAUCUAGUGGCGGUCUCGCUGCAGCCUCCAUUGCGUAGUAGCUAACACCUCGCAACUGGAACGCGGCGCGGCCAAGCCGUUAAACCCCCAACUUUUGAAUGUUGACCUCGGAUCAGGUAGGAAUACCCGCUGAACUUAAGCAUAUCAAUAAGCGGAGGA
This 342-nucleotide unclassified non-coding RNA is filed under the name soil metagenome. Its description in RNAcentral is "partial contains 5.8S ribosomal RNA, internal transcribed spacer 2, and large subunit ribosomal RNA". The stretch from base 1 to 120 matches the Rfam family "5.8S ribosomal RNA", at positions 35 to 154 of the family's 154-position model. The record is from RNAcentral.